This 468-nucleotide ribosomal RNA is filed under the name uncultured bacterium. RNAcentral describes it as "partial 16S ribosomal RNA". It matches the Rfam family "Bacterial small subunit ribosomal RNA", at positions 28 to 507 of the family's 1533-position model. The record is from RNAcentral.
GACGAACGCUGGCGGCGUGCUUAACACAUGCAAGUCGAACGGAAAGGCCCUGCUUUUGUGGGGUGCUCGAGUGGCGAACGGGUGAGUAACACGUGAGUAACCUGCCCUUGACUUUGGGAUAACUUCAGGAAACUGGGGCUAAUACCGGAUAGGAGCUCCUGCUGCAUGGUGGGGGUUGGAAAGUUUCGGCGGUUGGGGAUGGACUCGCGGCUUAUCAGCUUGUGGGUGGGGUAGUGGCUUACCAAGGCUUUGACGGGUAGCCGGCCUGAGAGGGUGACCGGCCACAUUGGGACUGAGAUACGGCCCAGACUCCUACGGGAGGCAGCAGUGGGGAAUAUUGCACAAUGGGCGGAAGCCUGAUGCAGCAACGCCGCGUGCGGGAUGACGGCCUUCGGGGUGUAAACCGCUUUCGCCUGUGACGAAGCGUGAGUGACGGUAAUGGGUAAAGAAGCACCGGCUAACUACGUG